Long non-coding RNA from Zingiber officinale, 797 nucleotides. RefSeq lists it as uncharacterized. NCBI's taxonomy places the organism in Eukaryota, Viridiplantae, Streptophyta, Magnoliopsida, Zingiberales, Zingiberaceae. The record is from RefSeq and is a predicted model, not a curated record. The transcript has 3 exons.
CGUGCCCUACUCCUCCCUAAUCGCCGAACCCUUGCUCACCUUAUCUCGUCGCCGCCCCGAUUAUUCCUCAUCUCUCGCGUCGUUUACUCUCUGCUCUUCUUCUUCUCCUCAUCUUCUCCAACCGGCACCCCUUUUUCUUCUUCUGCGUCAUCUUCCCUCCUCUGCCAUCGUCUCCUCGUCGCGGAGGUCCUCACAGCGCCGAUUGUCACGAGAGCACCGCCGACAGCAGUCCUUCUCUCCACGACCCUCACCAACACCAAGCUCUCUGGGCUAUCAGGCGGCCCGAUCCUCUUCUACAUUUUCCCCUUGCAUCUCUGCCCUAGAUGCAACCGGCGUCAUCGCAUCCAACCACAAUACCUGCAAUUUGGGUGGCUAGCGUCGCCGCCAUCUCUUUCACCGGCUGCCACUUCUUCCUCUUCCAUCUGCCACCGUCAGAGAGCUAAGUACACAGGAGAGUAGGGUUGUUCUUCCGUGUAUCAGCAGUUGCAAGGGGUUACCACGCGUUGCCCCCUUCAAUUGUGCCGUGGCCAUCUGGUCAGCCACAAGGAGAUCCAUUGCUGCGGUGACCCCAUUUGUGCCUAGAUUUGUGCCAAUGUUGUGUAUCAGUGAAUUCUGAGGCAGUGAGGGUUGUUGGACAGAUUUACCAUCGUCGGAAGAGCCACAAACUGCUAAUAAGGAUUUUCUCAAUAAAAUUGGUUGGUUCAUUAAUCUGUACAAGAGAAGCAAUUUAUCUCAUGAAAUUCGAAGACAGGGAGAGCAAUGAAGGCAUGGAUGCUAUUAGCUCGAGGAUGGAGGAA